This is a long non-coding RNA of Haplochromis burtoni (Burton's mouthbrooder), 765 nucleotides long. RefSeq lists it as uncharacterized. The transcript is spliced from 3 exons. NCBI's taxonomy places the organism in Eukaryota, Metazoa, Chordata, Actinopteri, Cichliformes, Cichlidae. The record is from RefSeq and is a predicted model, not a curated record.
CAGUCUUGGACCAAAUCAGGAGAAAUAAUCCUGAAGCUUUCAUGUUGUUGCUUUUCUCUCAGAUAUACAGACUUGUUUUAGCAGGCAGGGAUGUUUUUAUUCUUUAUUUACAAGAUGAAAUUGACUUUGGUCUAAAAAUGUGUUGUUUUAACAGAACAGCCUUCUGUGCACCAACUACACGUAACAGCCUGUAAAUAACAGCUCAGCUGCAGUCUGACACAGUGGAGGCUCUUCAGGCUCUCUGCUCCACUCUGGUGUUCAGUCCUGAAGGUUGGAGCGCAGGGACAGUUCAGGCUCCAGCAGUCAGCUGACAUUUGAUUGAAAUCAGGGCAACAAACUGUUCUACCAGGAGGAGGCGCUGCAGGACGUGUCAGGAAAACACAGGCUGGAGGUGAAGCUGCAUGUGCUUCAGUGCAGAUUUGUGCCACCUACAACAUCCCAACACCUGCUGAUGUCCCCACUCUCAGUGUGAAAGUCCACACAGAGGUGGAGCCCACAGGUGACUCUGCCAGAGCCAGACUGACUGUGGAAAUACAUCCCUGUAAGUAUGUGACAGGUUAGAGGAGAGCUCUGUACCAGCGUGGAGUCACUGUGGGUGGAUGAAGAGCAUGUGUGCACACACUGUUCAAACACAGCUACAGUGGGAAGGAGAAAACUACAAACAUGGUGGACCUGGAUGUUCCCCAGAGUGUGAGUAAUUAGACAGACUCUACCAACACGUGUGUGUCAUGUGAUCACUGUGAUGAUGUCAUCUCCUCACAGCUC